GUUGAUGUAGCUUAAUUAAAGCGAAGCACUGAAAAUGCUAAGAUGGAUUCCUUAGAUCCCAUAAACA
This 67-nucleotide transfer RNA is filed under the name Sicista concolor (Chinese birch mouse). RNAcentral's name for it is "tRNA-Phe". It matches the Rfam family "tRNA". From Rfam's summary of the family: Transfer RNA (tRNA) molecules are approximately 80 nucleotides in length. Their secondary structure includes four short double-helical elements and three loops (D, anti-codon, and T loops). The record is from RNAcentral. Lineage: Eukaryota; Metazoa; Chordata; Mammalia; Rodentia; Dipodidae.